This 468-nucleotide ribosomal RNA is filed under the name uncultured bacterium. RNAcentral describes it as "partial 16S ribosomal RNA". It matches the Rfam family "Bacterial small subunit ribosomal RNA", at positions 28 to 507 of the family's 1533-position model. The record is from RNAcentral.
GACGAACGCUGGCGGCGUGCUUAACACAUGCAAGUCGAACGGAAAGGCCCUGCUUUUGUGGGGUGCUCGAGUGGCGAACGGGUGAGUAACACGUGAGUAACCUGCCCUUGACUUUGGGAUAACUUCAGGAAACUGGGGCUAAUACCGGAUAGGAGCUCCUGCUGCAUGGUGGGGGUUGGAAAGUUUCGGCGGUUGGGGAUUGACUCGCGGCUUAUCAGCUUGUUGGUGGGGUAGUGGCUUACCAAGGCUUUGACGGGUAGCCGGCCUGAGAGGGUGACCGGCCACAUUGGGACUGAGAUACGGACCAGACUCCUACGGGAGGCAGCAGUGGGGAAUAUUGCACAAUGGGCGGAAGCCUGAUGCAGCAACGCCGCGUGCGGGAUGACGGCCUUCGGGUUGUAAACCGCUUUCGCCUGUGACGAAGCGUGAGUGACGGUAAUGGGUAAAGAAGCACCGGCUAACUACGUG